Molecule: ribosomal RNA, 253 nt
Filed under: uncultured bacterium
Lineage: Bacteria
Also listed under: 1 other name
Description: partial 16S ribosomal RNA
Rfam family: Bacterial small subunit ribosomal RNA
Source: RNAcentral
UACGUAGGGUGCGAGCGUUAAUCGGAAUUACUGGGCGUAAAGCGUGCGCAGGCGGCGACAUAAGACAGAUGUGAAAUCCCCGGGCUCAACCUGGGAACUGCGUUUGUGACUGUGUUGCUAGAGUGUAGCAGAGGGGGGUGGAAUUCCACGUGUAGCAGUGAAAUGCGUAGAGAUGUGGAGGAACACCGAUGGCGAAGGCAGCCCCCUGGGUUAACACUGACGCUCAUGCACGAAAGCGUGGGGAGCAAACAGG